UACUUUGACCAAGUCAACCGCAACACGCCCGAUCUCUUCAGAUCUCGGAAGCUAAGCAGAUUGGAGCCUGGAUAGUUUUUGGAUGGGUGACCACCAUGCACACGGAUCAUUUGGGUUA
RNAcentral lists this ribosomal RNA (118 nucleotides) under Petromyzon marinus (sea lamprey). Lineage: Eukaryota; Metazoa; Chordata; Hyperoartia; Petromyzontiformes; Petromyzontidae. The record is from RNAcentral.